AGAGUUUGAUUCUGGCUCAGAACGAACGCUGGCGGCGUGGAUAAGACAUGCAAGUCGAACGGAAAUCACCGGGUAGCAAUAUUCGGGGGUUUUAGUGGCGAAAGGGUGCGUAACACGUAGCUAUCUACCUUCAAGUGGGGGAUAACGCCGAGAAAUCGGUGCUAAUACCGCAUGUGAACGAAAGUUUAAGACUGGGGAUCGUAAGACCUGGUGCUUGAAGAUGAGGCUGCGGCCUAUCAGCUAGUUGGCGGGGUAAAAGCCCACCAAGGCUAAGACGGGUAGCUGGUCUGAGAGGACGACCAGCCACACUGGAACUGAGACACGGUCCAGACACCUACGGGUGGCAGCAGUCGAGGAUUUUUCUCAAUGGGGGAAACCCUGAAGGAGCGACGCCGCGUGAGGGAUGAAGGUCUUCGGAUUGUAAACCUCUGUCAUCUGGGAACAAUGCGCUCCACCUAACACGUGGAUCGUUGAUAGUACCGGAAGAGGAAGCAGUGGCUAACUCUGUGCCAGCAGCCGCGGUAAUACAGAGACUGCAAGCGUUGUUCGGAUUCAUUGGGCGUAAAGGGUGCGCAGGCGGUGUGCUAAGUCAGAUGUGAAAUCUCACAGCCUAACUGUGAUAGGUCAUUUGAAACUGGCAUGCUAGAGGACUGGAGAGGAGACUGGAAUAGUCGGUGUAGCGGUGAAAUGCGUAGAGAUCGACUAGAACACCGGUGGCGAAGGCGGGUCUCUGGACAGUUCCUGACGCUCAUGCACGAAAGCCAGGGGAGCAAACGGGAUUAGAUACCCCGGUAGUCCUGGCCCUAAACGGUGUUCACUUGGUGUGCGGGGAGUCGACCCCCUGCGUGCCGAAGCUAACGCGAUAAGUGAACCGCCUGGGAAGUACGGUCGCAAGAUUAAAACUCAAAGAAAUUGACGGGGGCCCGCACAAGCGGUGGAGCAUGUGGCUUAAUUCGAUGCUACGCGAAGAACCUUACCUGGCCUUGACAUCUAUCGUGAAAGGUGGUGAAAGCCAUCGACGGCCCGAAAGGGUGCUGGGGAUAGACAGGUGCUGCAUGGUUGUCGUCAGCUCGUGUCGUGAGAUGUUGGCUUAAGUGCCGCAACGAGCGCAACCCCUGUGUUUAGUUACCUGCGCAAGCAGGGUCUCUAAACAGACUGCCUCGCUUUAAACGAGGAGGAAGGUGGGGAUGACGUCAAAUCAGUAUGGCCCUUACGGCCAGGGCUGCACACGUGCUACAAUGCGCGGAACAGAGGGACGCAAGACCGCGAGGUGGAGCCAAUCCCAGAAAUCCGCGCCCAGUUCAGAUUGGAGGCUGCAACUCGCCUCCAUGAAGCCGGAAUCGCUGGUAAUGGCGCAUCAGCUACGGCGCCGUGAAUGCGUUCCCGGGCCUUGUACACACCGCCCGUCACAUCAUGGAAGCUGUCUGCACCCGAAGUCGCCACGUUAACCGCAAGGAGACAGGCGCCGAAGGUAUGGAUAGUGACUGGGAUGAAGUCGAAACAAGGUAGCCGUAGGGGAACCUGCGGCUG
This 1530-nucleotide ribosomal RNA is filed under the name metagenome. Its description in RNAcentral is "bacterial SSU rRNA". It matches the Rfam family "Bacterial small subunit ribosomal RNA". The record is from RNAcentral.